RNAcentral lists this unclassified non-coding RNA (357 nucleotides) under soil metagenome. RNAcentral describes it as "partial contains 5.8S ribosomal RNA, internal transcribed spacer 2, and large subunit ribosomal RNA". The stretch from base 1 to 120 matches the Rfam family "5.8S ribosomal RNA", at positions 35 to 154 of the family's 154-position model. The record is from RNAcentral.
GAUGAAGAACGCAGCGAAAUGCGAUAAGUAAUGUGAAUUGCAGAAUUCAGUGAAUCAUCGAAUCUUUGAACGCACAUUGCGCCCGCUGGUAUUCCGGCGGGCAUGCCUGUUCGAGCGUCAUUUCAACCCUCAAGCUCUCCGGAGUUUGGUGUUGGGGCGCCUGGGGCUUUUCGACCUCAGGGCCCUCAAGUCCAUCGGCGGGACCGCCAGGACACUGAGCGAAGUAGUAUUAUUUCGCUCGGUAGGAUCUUCCACGGCGGGUCGAUCUGGCCGCUAAACCCCCCAAUUCUCACCAAAGGUUGACCUCGGAUCAGGUAGGAAUACCCGCUGAACUUAAGCAUAUCAAUAAGCGGAGGA